Molecule: long non-coding RNA, 1344 nt
Filed under: Arachis ipaensis
Lineage: Eukaryota; Viridiplantae; Streptophyta; Magnoliopsida; Fabales; Fabaceae
Description: long non-coding RNA (AIPA_LNC001360)
Source: RNAcentral
AGCAAGUGAUUAUUCCAUGCCACUGUUUCACAGUAACUUCACAACUGUUUUAUUUGCAAAACAAAAUCAUUCACAAAUCACAACAUGAACUAAUACUAGAAAGAAAAAGAAAACUUUCAUGGCCAAUUAGAUAGAAUUGCUUGCAUAUUUAGAAAAGAGUAAUCACCCAAAUUUUGGUUUAAAAGAAACAAUUUGGUUUUCAAAAGUAUAUACAUUGUUCUAUUCCACAUAUCUCUAAUAGAAAAGAAAAGAAUAAACUACUCUACUUACUAGUUACUACCAAAAUUUGAUACCUUUUAUCUACCAAUAUGCAACAAUACAAAGGCCAUGAGAUCAAAGGCAUACAGAUCACUACGACUUAGUGAGGAAUAUGAAAGAAUAUAUUCACACAUUAAUAAACAAAAUUUCGAUAUCCAAUUUAAAAAAGAAACUAAAAAGUUAAUUCCUAAAGUGGGUCACAAGAUUUACAUCCUUAAUUAUCACAUGGCUAACCUCAGAGAGAAGGUCCAAGCAUGGUGGUAGAAUCUCUUUGGAAGCAGGGAUUGAGCCAUACUAAACCAAUAGGAGGGAUUGAGCCAUACUAAACCAAUAGGAGCAAUUUUAACAUGGCAGGUUUAACAUGACAGGAGCAGUUUUAACAUGGCAGGUUUUCAUCUUCGACUCAAUGAACAAUUUAUUAAAUCAACAACAGCAAAAACACAAUAUAACAAUCAAAAGGUAAAGAACAACACCAAAACAAUAAUUUAUCAAAUUAAAAAGUUAAUAAGAUCAAUUAAAACUGAAAAUCAAAAUAACAAGAACAAUUAAAAUUUUAAACUACAGCAAACCAACAACAAAAUAAGAACUAGAAAACAUACUAAUCAUGAAAACAACAAUCAAAUAAAACAAUAUCUGAAUAAUUAAUACAAGAAAGAACAAGAAGAAGGAGAAAAAAUCACCCUACGAUAGAGCAGUUCUGAAAUUCAAACAGUACAGGGAGAGGGAGAAGCUUUAAAACGCGACGGAAAUGGCUGAGCGGAGGCUGAACAAUGGCUGAACGGUGGCUAAAAGGCAGCGGAACAGAGGCUCGAACACGCGGCGUAGAGAACUGAACAGAGAGCUAAGCAGCUCGAACAAGGGUUGGCCACAAAACAGAGGCAGAACCACAGAAGCUUGGCCAAAAAGGAGGCGGACGCGCGGCGAACAAGGGCGACGUUGCGCCGAAGCUGUAGCAAUGCGGAUGGCGGCGGUGGCUGGACGUUGAGGAACGGCGGCGAGAGAGGGCUGCUAUGGUGCUUCCUCCAAGCUGCGUUCGAGUUCUCUUCGAUUCCAAGAGGGUGCUGCGGGUUAAUGGUUAGGGUUCCU